GACGAACGCUGGCGGCGUGCUUAACAAAUGCAAGUCGAACGGAAAGGCCCUGCUUUUGUGGGGUGCUCGAGUGGCGAACGGGUGAGUAACACGUGAGUAACCUGCCCUUGACUUUGGGAUAACUUCAGGAAACUGGGGCUAAUACCGGAUAGGAGCUCCUGCUGCAUGGUGGGGGUUGGAAAGUUUCGGCGGUUGGGGAUGGACUCGCGGCUUAUCAGCUUGUUGGUGGGGUAGUGGCUUACCAAGGCUUUGACGGGUAGCCGGCCUGAGAGGGUGACCGGCCACAUUGGGACUGAGAUACGGCCCAGACUCCUACGGGAGGCAGCAGUGGAGAAUAUUACACAAUGGGCGGAAGCCUGAUGCAGCAACGCCGCGUGCGGGAUGACGGCCUUCGGGUUGUAAACCGCUUUCGCCUGUGACGAAGCGUGAGUGACGGUAAUGGGUAAAGAAGCACCGGCUAACUACGUG
RNAcentral lists this ribosomal RNA (468 nucleotides) under uncultured bacterium. RNAcentral describes it as "partial 16S ribosomal RNA". It matches the Rfam family "Bacterial small subunit ribosomal RNA", at positions 28 to 507 of the family's 1533-position model. The record is from RNAcentral.